GCUUCUGUGGUAGAGCGGUAAUCAUGUGCGCCUCACAUGCGCAAGGUCUCUGGUUUGAUCCCGGGUGGAAACA
Molecule: transfer RNA, 73 nt
Filed under: Ixodes scapularis (black-legged tick)
Lineage: Eukaryota; Metazoa; Arthropoda; Arachnida; Ixodida; Ixodidae
Description: tRNA-Val
Rfam family: tRNA
About the family: Transfer RNA (tRNA) molecules are approximately 80 nucleotides in length. Their secondary structure includes four short double-helical elements and three loops (D, anti-codon, and T loops).
Source: RNAcentral